RNAcentral lists this ribosomal RNA (565 nucleotides) under uncultured archaeon. RNAcentral's name for it is "bacterial SSU rRNA". It matches the Rfam family "Archaeal small subunit ribosomal RNA", at positions 327 to 898 of the family's 1478-position model. The record is from RNAcentral.
GGGGUGCACCAGGCGCGAAAACUUUACAAUGCUGGCAACAGCGAUAAGGGGACCUCGAGUGCCAGGUUACAAAUCUGGCUGUCGUGAUGCCUAAAAAGCAUUGCAUAGCAAGGGCCGGGCAAGACCGGUGCCAGCCGCCGCGGUAACACCGGCGGCUCGAGUGGUAACCGUUAUUAUUGGGUCUAAAGGGUCUGUAGCCGGCCGGAUAAGUCUCUUGGGAAAUCCAGCAGCUCAACUGUUGGGCUUUCAGGAGAUACUGUCUGGCUCGAGGCCGGGAGAGGUGAGAGGUACUUCAGGGGUAGGGGUGAAAUCUUGUAAUCCUUGAAGGACCACCAGUGGCGAAGGCGUCUCACCAGAACGGACCUGACGGCAAGGGACGAAGGCUAGGGGCACGAACCGGAUUAGAUACCCGGGUAGUCCUAGCCGUAAACGAUACUCGCUAGGUGUCGGCCACGGUGCGACCGUUGUCGGUGCCGUAGGGAAGCCGUGAAGCGAGCCACCUGGGAAGUACGGCCGCAAGGCUGAAACUUAAAGGAAUUGGCGGGGGAGCACAAGGGCAAUUCGC